RNAcentral lists this ribosomal RNA (253 nucleotides) under uncultured bacterium. RNAcentral describes it as "partial 16S ribosomal RNA". It matches the Rfam family "Bacterial small subunit ribosomal RNA", at positions 524 to 776 of the family's 1533-position model. The record is from RNAcentral.
UACGGGGGGGGCAAGCGUUGUUCGGAAUUACUGGGCGUAAAGGGCUCGUAGGCGGCCAACUAAGUCGGACGUGAAAUCCCCAGGCUCAACCUGGGAACUGCGUCCGAUACUGGAUGGCUUGAAUCUGGGAGAGGGAUGCAGAAUUCCAGGUGUAGCGGUGAAAUGCGUAGAUAUCUGGAGGAAUACCGGUGGCGAAGGCGGCAUCCUGGACCGGCAUUGACGCUGAGGAGCGAAAGCCAGGGGAGCAAACGGG